Long non-coding RNA from Pipra filicauda (Wire-tailed manakin), 2823 nucleotides. RefSeq lists it as uncharacterized. NCBI's taxonomy places the organism in Eukaryota, Metazoa, Chordata, Aves, Passeriformes, Pipridae. The transcript is spliced from 3 exons. The record is from RefSeq and is a predicted model, not a curated record.
UCAAUGCAUUUCUGAAAUGGUAAAGGUACAGACAGGAUGCAAAAUGGGAAGAUUUUUCAAAAAAUCCUGAGCAGAUGAAAUACCAUAGGCUGAAUUGGAAGUCUGAAUACCUGAAGUGUUUUCAAAAUGGAACAGCUGAAGAGCUGCUGAAGGGUUGUGGUGGAUUUCCAGCUACUUUACUCUGAAACCAUAGCAGAGAGCACAGCCACAAGAGACUCUCCGUUAAGUUGCCAUCUUUCAAGAUUUCAGCCAAUUCAUGUUAUGUUUUUUUUUUAAGAGCAGUGAAAUCAAAAGGAGGUAGAUACUCACAAGAAAUUUUAUAGAGACGUGAUGAUCUCAGGUCUGCUUAUCAAGCUGCACUGUAAACUGGAAAUGGGGAAGGGCGGCUAUCACAAGGUGGGGGAAGAGAAAGGAGAUUUACUUACAACAGUCACACAAUAUCACAGUGAAGAUUUCAACUUUUGGUACUCCAUUCAUGAUUUUCUUUUUUUUCUGGUCAGAUAUCUUUGGCAACUUGCUCAGUCUUUUUUUCAGCAUAAGAUACACCUGAAUAAACAAAAAUUGGACAGAAGCAUAAAGGAUCUUGGAAGUGUUCUGUAUUUUGGCUAGGCUUUGGAAAUAGAUAUAAAGAUAUAACAGAUAUAAAGAACUACAGAAUUGACAUGACAGAACACCUGACAUAAGGAAUUUUAUACACUUGGGGAAGAGCAUCUAAAUAAUGGCCCUUCUUCCUAACCUGAUCUUCUAGGAUAGGCCAGGGAGGCUUUCACCAUAGAAGUGAGUGUUGGGUCCAUUCAAGCAACUGCUGAGUUAAAAUUAACCACCUGUUCAAGUACAAAAGGUGAGAGAGCUGUAACCUUUUAAAUUGGUUUGAGAAAAAGCAAACAACCCAGAAAUUGGGAAGUUUUUUGUCUUUGACUUUUUUAAUUGUAGAUCAUGUCAACUUUUUGAAUUUUAGUGAGAUCAGUUUCAUGACCUUUAAGUGAAGCUGGCUUAUAAGCUUUGAGCACCUGAAGUUUGCAUGAGUAUAAUGCUCAUCUUUCUAUUCUAUACGUAAUUUGCAGUAGAGGCUGGAAAAGCCAAACUGAGAAAAUUAAGCUAAAUCAGAAGUCCCAACUUUGAGCACAAGGCCCAGUGUCAGGAGGGUUAUACCAUUGUGAGUUAUGAAAUAAAAGUUAUUUCAUAGAAAAGGAACUGCCCCUAUUGACGUGCACAUUAUGACUCAUACUGUCACCCCUGAUUACAGUACUCAUUAAUUAAAUAUAUUUCUGUAAGCUUAAAGAAUGUUCCAGAAAGAUCCAUAAUUGCACCACCCCUGAAACAAAUGAAAUCAAGGUCUGUGAAAAAAAAAAAUCAGGAAGGUCCAUAUGUCUCCAACAAAAAGCUGAGAUGAGAGGUCAUUAAAACCUAUACCAAAAAAGGCAUAUUAGUGAGUAGUGGCUCACUAAGUCACUUGUAGUGACUUUGAAUUAUUUCCACUUUUAUUGAAAUUUGAAGCUGGAAGACAUUGAAAGACAAAGAGCUUUUGCUGUCUUUUUAUUCCGUCGGUUAUCAGGUUCGUUAUUGCUUUUUGGUCUCAUGACCAGGUGCUGAUAUUUAUCGCAUGUUGGUGCUUUAAUGUUUUUUCCCCAGUUUAUUUCUAAAGUGUGAAGCCGGCUUUCAAAAUCCGGCAGAAGAUAUACUCCUACUGGAAAUCUCAACCUGAAUCCUGAAGGAGAAUAUUUUAUCCUUCUGAAGUCAACCUUUGAUACAACUUUUUUUUUCACAUUCUUUUGUGUACUGAAAGAAUACGAAAGUAUUAGUACAGCUGAUAAAAACAAAAAUUUUGCUUUAGUUGUUGCAAUUUCACAUAUAUUCACAUUAUUUUAAUUAUAGUAUUUCAACUGAAUUCUGCAACCAAAUUAAUGCUGAAGUCAUGGACUUUACUAGCUCCUAUUUACAAUACUGUUUGAGAACCUCCAUUUGCAACUUUCUGUCAAUUCUCUGCAACUCUCUUCAAUUUGGAGCAGACCCAGAUUUAAACCUUGUUCCAAGGACAAUGAGAAUGCUCCAGUUUGGCUGCAUCAGAAAGUGUGGUCAGCAGGUUGAGGGAGGUGAUCCUUCCUCUUUAGUUGGCCUUAGUGAGGCCACAUUACUAGUACUGUGUCCAGUUCUGGGCUCCUCAAUACAAGAAAGACAAGGAGCUACUGGAGAGGGUACAGGGCAGGGCCAGAAUGAUGAUUAGGGAUCUGGAGCAUCUCUCUUAUGAGUAGAAACUAUGAGAGCUGGACCUGCUUAGUCUAGAGAAGAGAAGACUGACAGGGGAUCUCAUCAAUACAUAUAAAUAUCUCAGAGGUGGGUGCCAGGGCAAUGGUGUCAGACUUUUUGGUGGUGCCCACCAACAGGAGAAGGAGCACUGUGGAGCACAAGGAAGAUGACUGGAAAUGGUUUCAGAGAUGGUGCGAACUCUAUGGGAAUCAUUAGGGAGGACACUAAAGAAUACCAGCAGCAUUUAGUAUGCGUAACAGAAAAGAACUUGGUUACUAUAGUACAUAGGAAUUGUUAAUGCAUGUUUUUCUAAUUAUGUACCCCAGUUUUACUUGUAGUUGGACAUGUCCAGAUUUGUUUGCUCCCUUGUUGCUGUACCCUCAUUCUGAUUGGUAGGAUUCAGCUGCAGUGUGGAGUCCUGCACAAUUGGUCCUUGUUCCUGAAGUGUUCCCUCCUGUUUUCCCUGAUUUGUUCAACUUCCUGUCAAUCCCAUGCUCCACCUACCAUUUCAGUGCUUUCCACCCCGAACCCUCUUUAAGCCAGCAUUUUCACUCAAUAAAGUGCGAUAGCUCCAGA